CUUUCAUACAGGUGCUGCACGGCUGUCGUCAGCUCGUGUCGUGAGAUGUUAGGUUAAGUCCCUGCAACGAGCGCAACCCUCGUGUUUAGUUACUAACAGAUUAUGCUGAGGACUCUAGACAUACUGCCUGGGCAACCAGGAGGAAGGUGAGGACGACGUCAAGUCAUCAUGGCCCUUACGGCCAGGGCUACACACGUGCUACAAUGGGGUAUACAAAGAGCAGCGAUACCGCGAGGUGGAGCAAAUCUCAUAAAAUAUCUCCCAGUUCGGAUUACACUCUGCAACUCGAGUGUAUGAAGUUGGAAUCGCUAGUAAUCGUAGAUCAGCAAUGCUACGGUGAAUACGUUCCCGGGUCUUGUACUCACCGCCC
RNAcentral lists this ribosomal RNA (370 nucleotides) under uncultured Campylobacterota bacterium. RNAcentral's name for it is "bacterial SSU rRNA". It matches the Rfam family "Bacterial small subunit ribosomal RNA", at positions 1027 to 1395 of the family's 1533-position model. The record is from RNAcentral. Lineage: Bacteria; Pseudomonadati; Campylobacterota.